CUUUUGGGCUUUGUUCAUUAAGAAACUGAAUAUCUGAAAUAAGCAACAAGAGCAAGUCAUGCAGGAAACCCCUCAGCAAGAGAAUCUCACUGCCUCAAAACUAAUUAAGAGGGCAUCUGAAAUUACUUACCAUGUUGAAUUACUCGCUCCUGAGCUAUACUCUUCACCCUUUGCUUCAAGGCAUCAUUUUUCAAGUCUCCUGAUAUGUUUUGUCAAGUAAGAAAGUCCAUUCUAGUGAACACAUAUAUCACUUCCAACUGCAUUAUUCAGGCAUGAAUAUAUUCUGAAAAUAUCAGUGCAUCGGGGAGCAAAAAUAUAUAAACAUCUAUUGCCAUGAGAUCAUGU
Molecule: long non-coding RNA, 345 nt
Filed under: Triticum aestivum (bread wheat)
Lineage: Eukaryota; Viridiplantae; Streptophyta; Magnoliopsida; Poales; Poaceae
Description: long non-coding RNA (TAES_LNC026323)
Source: RNAcentral